GCUGACGGUGUGCAUAAUACAUGCAAGUCGAACGUGUGAUGCGAAAGUAGCAAUACUUUUGCAAAGCAAGUGGCGAACGGGUGAGUAACAAGUGGACAAUCUGCCCUUAAGAUCGGGAUAAUUAUUCGAAAGGAUAGCUAAUACCGAAUGUUUUAUAUCUUUCGAUGAUUGAUAUAACAAAGGAAGCCGCAAGGCCUCCGCUUUUGGAUGAGUCCGCUGCCUAUUAGCUAGUUGGUAAGGUAAUGGCUUACCAAGGCUAUGAUGGGUAGCCGGCCCGAGAGGGUGUCCGGCCACACUGGGACUGAGAUACGGCCCAGACUCCUACGGGAGGCAGCAGUAGGGAAUAUUGCGCAAUGGGCGAAAGCCUGACGCAGCGACACCGUGUGUAGGAUGAAGAUCUUAGGAUUGUAAACUACUGUCAGUUGAAGAAGAAGGUAUGAGAGUUAAGAGCUUGAUUAUUGACGGUAUUCAACGAGGAAGUCUCGGCUAACUCCGUGCCAGCAGCCGCGGUAAGACGGGGGAGGCAAGCAUUGUCCGGAAUUAUUGGGCGUAAAGAACUCGUAGGCGGUUUUUCAAGUCAUUUGUGAAAACCUUGGGCUUAACCCGAGGACUGCAGGUGAUACUGGAAGACUAGAGUACAGUAGAGGAAAGUGGAAUUCCUGGUGUAGCGGUGAAAUGCGCAGAUAUCAGGAAGAACACCAGUGGCGAAAGCGGCUUUCUGGGCUGUUACUGACGCUGAGGAGUGAAAGCUAGGGGAGCGAACAGGAUUAGAUACCCUGGUAGUCUUAGCUGUAAACGAUGGACACUAGGUGUGGGGAGUUAUCGACGCUCUCCGUGCCGAAGCUAACGCAUUAAGUGUCCCGCCUGGGGAGUACGGUCGCAAGACUAAAACUCAAAGGAAUUGACGGGGGCCCGCACAAGCGGCGGAGCAUGUGGCUUAAUUCGACGCAACGCGAAGAACCUUACCAAGGUUUGACAUCAUAUUGAAGGUAGUAGAAAUAUUGCCGCCCGCAAGGGCAGUAUGACAGGUGGUGCAUGUUGUCGUCAGCUCGUGUCGUGAGAUGUUGGGUUAAGUCCCGCAACGAGCGCAACCCUCGUCCCAUGUUGCCAUCAGGUUAAGCUGGCACUCUUGGGAUACUGCCAGUGUAAAACUGGAGGAAGGUGGGAUGACGUCAAAUCAUCAUGCCCUUUAUAUCUUGGCUGCACACGUGCUACAAUGGUCUGUACAAAGAGCUGCGAUACUGUGAAGUGGAGCGAAUCUCAAAAGACAGAUCUAAGUCCGGAUUGAAGGCUGAAACUCGCCUUCAUGAAGUCGGAGUCGCUAGUAAUCGUGGAUCAGCAUGCCACGGNGAAUACGUUCCCGGGCCUUGUACACACCGCCCGUCACACCACGAAAGUCGGAUACACCNGAAGCCAGUGGGCUAACCCGCAAGGGA
RNAcentral lists this ribosomal RNA (1436 nucleotides) under uncultured bacterium. RNAcentral's name for it is "16S ribosomal RNA". It matches the Rfam family "Bacterial small subunit ribosomal RNA". The record is from RNAcentral.